GCUUGUCUCAAAGAUUAAGCCAUGCAUGUCUUAGUGUAAAUAACUCUUAUGAAACUGCGAAUGGCUCAUUAAAUCAGUUAUCGUUUAUUUGAUGGUCCCUUACUACAUGGAUAACCGUAGUAAUUCUAGAGCUAAUACAUGCACAAAGGCCCGACUCACGAAGGGCUGUAUUUAUUAGAUGGAAACCAAUGCGGGGCAACCCGGUAUAUGGUGAUUCAUAAUAACUUUCGGAUCGAUCUUCGGAUCGAUGCAUCAUUCAAGUUUCUGCCCUAUCAGCUUUGGAUGGUAGGGUAUUGGCCUACCAUGGCUUUAACGGGUAACGGAGAAUUAGGGUUCGAUUCCGGAGAGGGAGCCUGAGAAACGGCUACCACAUCCAAGGAAGGCAGCAGG
Molecule: ribosomal RNA, 390 nt
Filed under: uncultured Ochromonas
Lineage: Eukaryota; Chrysophyceae; Chromulinales; Chromulinaceae
Description: partial small subunit ribosomal RNA
Rfam family: Eukaryotic small subunit ribosomal RNA
Source: RNAcentral